RNAcentral lists this long non-coding RNA (246 nucleotides) under Chloebia gouldiae (Gouldian finch). RNAcentral describes it as "Erythrura gouldiae (Gouldian finch) lncRNA (ENSEGOG00005002400.1)". The record is from RNAcentral. Lineage: Eukaryota; Metazoa; Chordata; Aves; Passeriformes; Passeridae.
CCUGGAUGCCCAACUCCAGCACAGAGAGGAUGGGAAGAAGAACAAAAAAGGGAUGAGCAGUGAUCUCCAGUGGAUUUGUGCACCAAAGAGCACCAUCACCUCAUCCACAUGGGAGCUACUUCCUUUGGGUGGCCUUCUGCUCUUCACCACUACAUGUCUCAGUAAUGCAGGGAGAGUUCCUCCAAGAAAGAGGAAGAAGAUCCCAUAUUUGACCCUAAAGAAAGGAUGUGCCAUGGCCACUAUCUA